GAUGAACGCUGGCGGCGUGCCUAAUACAUGCAAGUCGAGGGAACAGACGAGGAGCUUGCUCCUCUGACGUUAGCGGCGGACGGGUGAGUAACACGUGGAUAACCUACCUAUAAGACUGGGAUAACUUCGGGAAACCGGAGCUAAUACCGGAUAAUAUAUUGAACCGCAUGGUUCAAUAGUGAAAGACGGUUUUGCUGUCACUUAUAGAUGGAUCCGCGCCGCAUUAGCUAGUUGGUAAGGUAACGGCUUACCAAGGCAACGAUGCGUAGCCGACCUGAGAGGGUGAUCGGCCACACUGGAACUGAGACACGGUCCAGACUCCUACGGGAGGCAGCAGUAGGGAAUCUUCCGCAAUGGGCGAAAGCCUGACGGAGCAACGCCGCGUGAGUGAUGAAGGCCUUCGGAUCGUAAAACUCUGUUAUUAGGGAAGAACAAAUGUGUAAGUAACUAUGCACGUCUUGACGGUACCUAAUCAGAAAGCCACGGCUAACUACGUG
RNAcentral lists this ribosomal RNA (497 nucleotides) under uncultured bacterium. RNAcentral describes it as "partial 16S ribosomal RNA". It matches the Rfam family "Bacterial small subunit ribosomal RNA", at positions 28 to 507 of the family's 1533-position model. The record is from RNAcentral.